UGCUUGCUUGCCUUCCGCACAGCUACCGUCUCCCGCUCCAUUAAAACUGUACAUGCGGGCGUAAGCUUUCACAACAUGCACAUUUUCACUCCAAACAGAGAGCGUAUGUCAAGGAGUAAGAAUGAAAUCCUUAAAAUCGGUGAAUGUACUGCCUGAGUUGGACAGACCCCAUUGUUUCAGUUCUUGCAAGGAGUGCUCUGCUCAGACCCAAUUGGAUGGUUUGUUGAGGUUGGGCUCGAGGACCCAAUACAUGGUUGUUGCCAAUAUUGCAUGUUUUCACCAAUUGUGUUGCUUUGAGAAGUUGACAAAGUGGAAGUAAUAAAUGGUGUGCAUGAAAAAUGAAAUGAGGCAAGUCUUCAUACUGGUAUGUUUGGCAAAGUAUAAUUGUUUUUAGCCAUUAAGAUUGGGAUUUUGUGGACCCUAAUUCGUUUAGUAUUUUUUUUGUUGUUUUUGUAGAAUGGUGGUUGUUCGAGUUGACUGUGAAGGCAAGAAAAAUCACAGAGUUAGUGAACAAGAAUAUUGACAACCUUUUCAGUUCUUUUUAAAAUCAAAAUUUGUUUUUACUUUGCUGACUCUCAGAAUUAUUUGUAGCAUCGUCUGUUGGACAUUUGACUAUAAAUGUAAGUAUAUUGCAUCAAAAGACAGAUUUGGUGCAAGAAAAGAUGUUUCUGAGAGAAUUUGAUUCUAUGUGAGAAAAUCAAUGCACAUCCUGUAGUCAUCACUUAAAUUGUGCAUUAACAUUAGUUUUUCUACUUUUUAUGAAGUUCUUCAAGUUCUUAUGUGAAGAAGAUGUAGAAACCAGAAUAUUAUUGUCCUUUUUGAGGAGAGUUUUGUGAUUUUCAACAAGCACUCGAGUGGAUGAACCAAAAAUUAAUUUCUGAUCUUCGGGGGUUUUGUUGUGUCUUUCAUUUGGCUAAUUUGAAUUAGUCUUGCAAUUUAUGUUUUGUUUUAUUUGAUUUUUGUAUUUAUCUUACUUCUACUUUUUUAAAAUUACUCGAUGAUAUGUAUUUGCACAUUUGGUUUAAAUUCUACUUUCUGCUUUAAUCAGCUUCUGGAAUUGAUGAUAGUUUUACAAGAACAAGCAUUUGCUAAAGUGUC
Molecule: long non-coding RNA, 1098 nt
Filed under: Physcomitrium patens
Lineage: Eukaryota; Viridiplantae; Streptophyta; Bryopsida; Funariales; Funariaceae
Description: long non-coding RNA (PPAT_LNC011053)
Source: RNAcentral